UUAAAUUGAAGAGUUUGAUCAUGGCUCAGAUUGAACGCUGGCGGCAGGCCUAACACAUGCAAGUCGAACGGUAGCACAGAGAGCUUGCUCUCGGGUGACGAGUGGCGGACGGGUGAGUAAUGUCUGGGAAACUGCCUGAUGGAGGGGGAUAACUACUGGAAACGGUGGCUAAUACCGCAUAACGUCGCAAGACCAAAGAGGGGGACCUUCGGGCCUCUUGCCAUCAGAUGUGCCCAGAUGGGAUUAGCUUGUUGGUGAGGUAACGGCUCACCAAGGCGACGAUCCCUAGCUGGUCUGAGAGGAUGACCAGCCACACUGGAACUGAGACACGGUCCAGACUCCUACGGGAGGCAGCAGUGGGGAAUAUUGCACAAUGGGCGCAAGCCUGAUGCAGCCAUGCCGCGUGUAUGAAGAAGGCCUUCGGGUUGUAAAGUACUUUCAGCGGGGAGGAAGGUGUUGUGGUUAAUAACCGCAGCAAUUGACGUUACCCGCAGAAGAAGCACCGGCUAACUCCGUGCCAGCAGCCGCGGUAAUACGGAGGGUGCAAGCGUUAAUCGGAAUUACUGGGCGUAAAGCGCACGCAGGCGGUCUGUCAAGUCGGAUGUGAAAUCCCCGGGCUCAACCUGGGAACUGCAUUCGAAACUGGCAGGCUUGAGUCUUGUAGAGGGGGGUAGAAUUCCAGGUGUAGCGGUGAAAUGCGUAGAGAUCUGGAGGAAUACCGGUGGCGAAGGCGGCCCCCUGGACAAAGACUGACGCUCAGGUGCGAAAGCGUGGGGAGCAAACAGGAUUAGAUACCCUGGUAGUCCACGCCGUAAACGAUGUCUACUUGGAGGUUGUGCCCUUGAGGCGUGGCUUCCGGAGCUAACGCGUUAAGUAGACCGCCUGGGGAGUACGGCCGCAAGGUUAAAACUCAAAUGAAUUGACGGGGGCCCGCACAAGCGGUGGAGCAUGUGGUUUAAUUCGAUGCAACGCGAAGAACCUUACCUGGUCUUGACAUCCACAGAACUUUCCAGAGAUGGAUUGGUGCCUUCGGGAACUGUGAGACAGGUGCUGCAUGGCUGUCGUCAGCUCGUGUUGUGAAAUGUUGGGUUAAGUCCCGCAACGAGCGCAACCCUUAUCCUUUGUUGCCAGCGAUUAGGUCGGGAACUCAAAGGAGACUGCCAGUGAUAAACUGGAGGAAGGUGGGGAUGACGUCAAGUCAUCAUGGCCCUUACGACCAGGGCUACACACGUGCUACAAUGGCGCAUACAAAGAGAAGCGACCUCGCGAGAGCAAGCGGACCUCAUAAAGUGCGUCGUAGUCCGGAUUGGAGUCUGCAACUCGACUCCAUGAAGUCGGAAUCGCUAGUAAUCGUGGAUCAGAAUGCCACGGUGAAUACGUUCCCGGGCCUUGUACACACCGCCCGUCACACCAUGGGAGUGGGUUGCAAAAGAAGUAGGUAGCUUAACCUUCGGGAGGGCGCUUACCACUUUGUGAUUCAUGACUGGGGUGAAGUCGUAACAAGGUAACCGUAGGGGAACCUGCGGUUGGAUCACCUCCUUACCUUAAAGAAGC
This 1554-nucleotide ribosomal RNA is filed under the name Salmonella enterica subsp. enterica serovar Litchfield. Its description in RNAcentral is "bacterial SSU rRNA". It matches the Rfam family "Bacterial small subunit ribosomal RNA". The record is from RNAcentral. RNAcentral also lists the same sequence under 3 other names. Lineage: Bacteria; Pseudomonadati; Pseudomonadota; Gammaproteobacteria; Enterobacterales; Enterobacteriaceae.